UGGGUAACCUGCCUCAAAGAGGGGAAUAGCCUCCCGAAAGGGAGAUUAAUACCGCAUAAUACGUUUAGGUCGCAUGACUUUAACAUCAAAGGAUUUCUUUUAGAAAUUCCACUUUGAGAUGGACCCGCGGCGCAUUAGCUAGUUGGUGAGGUAACGGCUCACCAAGGCAACGAUGCGUAGCCGACCUGAGAGGGUGAUCGGCCACAUUGGAACUGAGACACGGCCCAGACUCCUACGGGAGCAG
This 244-nucleotide ribosomal RNA is filed under the name uncultured bacterium. RNAcentral describes it as "partial 16S ribosomal RNA". It matches the Rfam family "Bacterial small subunit ribosomal RNA", at positions 118 to 347 of the family's 1533-position model. The record is from RNAcentral.